CCCCUAGACGUUCUGGGCUGCACGCGCGCUACACUGAUGUGUCCAGUAAGCACCUAACCUCUUCCGAAAGGAACGGGUAACCUUUGCAAAGCACAUCGUGAUGGGGAUAGAUUAUUGCAAUUAUUAGUCUUGAACGAGGAAUUCCUAGUAAGCACAAGUCAUCAGCUUGUGUUGAUUACGUCCCUGCCCUUUGUACACACCGCCCGUCGCUCCUACCGAUUGAAUGUUCCGGUGAGCUCUUCGGACUGCGCGGUCUGCAGUUUCUGCGUUCCGUGCGGAAAGUUGCGCAAACCUUAACAUUUAGAGGAAGGAGAAGUCGUAACA
RNAcentral lists this ribosomal RNA (324 nucleotides) under uncultured eukaryote. RNAcentral's name for it is "partial 18S ribosomal RNA". It matches the Rfam family "Eukaryotic small subunit ribosomal RNA", at positions 1470 to 1796 of the family's 1831-position model. The record is from RNAcentral.